UACGUAGGGACCAAGCGUUGUUCGGAUUUACUGGGCGUAAAGGGCGCGUAGGCGGCGUGGCAAGUCGUGUGUGAAAUCUCCGAGCUUAACUCGGAACGGUCAGAUGAUACUGCUGUGCUAGAGUACAGAAAGGGCAAUCGGAAUUCUUGGUGUAGCGGUGAAAUGCGUAGAUAUCAAGAGGAACACCUGAGGCGAAGGCGGGUUGCUAGGCUGAUACUGACGCUGAAGCGCGAAAGCUAGGGUAGCAAACGGG
Molecule: ribosomal RNA, 253 nt
Filed under: uncultured bacterium
Lineage: Bacteria
Description: partial 16S ribosomal RNA
Rfam family: Bacterial small subunit ribosomal RNA
Source: RNAcentral